CUCUUCCUUGUUGUCUUACGAAGGUGCUUCAAUCUGAGACUUCAUCCUAUUUUUCUAUGAAGUUUGGCGUACGCGUGAAGUAGAAAAUUUGUGGAUUCAGACCUACGCGAGGCUUUGGAUUCAAAAUCUUUAGAGAUUUGAUCCCUAUUCCGCUGCAUAUCAGAUAAAGAUCUAAUCUUUAUUAAGUUAUUAUAGAAAAAUUUUUAGAUGCACCCUAUCUAUCCACUUCAUUUACCCAAAGAAAUAAGUUUCUUUUCCUUUAAUUGGUAUCAGAGCCAGGCUUUGAUAUAUGAAUGCAUAAUUGAUUUUUUUCUAAUUUAUUUACAUAUUGUAUGUAAUUAAAAUUUUAUGUUAGACAUUAAAUCUGUUUUAGAUCUGUUUAAAUAAAAUUUAUG
RNAcentral lists this long non-coding RNA (395 nucleotides) under Elaeis guineensis (African oil palm). Its description in RNAcentral is "long non-coding RNA (EGUI_LNC012844)". Lineage: Eukaryota; Viridiplantae; Streptophyta; Magnoliopsida; Arecales; Arecaceae. The record is from RNAcentral.